RNAcentral lists this ribosomal RNA (208 nucleotides) under Bacillota bacterium. RNAcentral describes it as "Firmicutes bacterium (anaerobic digester metagenome) partial 16S ribosomal RNA". It matches the Rfam family "Bacterial small subunit ribosomal RNA", at positions 1 to 195 of the family's 1533-position model. Lineage: Bacteria; Bacillati; Bacillota. The record is from RNAcentral.
UUUGUCGGAGAGUUUGAUCCUGGCUCAGGACGAACGCUGGCGGCAUGCCUCAUACAUGCAAGUCGAGCGGUCUUUAAGAAGAAGGCUUGCCUUCAUCUUAAAGAUAGCGGCGGACGGGUGAGUAACGCGUGGGUAACCUGCCCUAAAGUAGGGGAUAACAUCUCGAAAGGGAUGCUAAUACCCUAUAAUGUCCUCAUCUCGCAUGGGA